RNAcentral lists this ribosomal RNA (253 nucleotides) under uncultured bacterium. RNAcentral describes it as "partial 16S ribosomal RNA". It matches the Rfam family "Bacterial small subunit ribosomal RNA", at positions 524 to 776 of the family's 1533-position model. The record is from RNAcentral.
UACGUAGGGCGCAAGCGUUGUCCGGAAUUAUUGGGCGUAAAGAGCUCGUAGGUGGUUGGUCACGUCUGCUGUGGAAACGCAACGCUUAACGUUGCGCGUGCAGUGGGUACGGGCUGACUAGAGUGCAGUAGGGGAGUCUGGAAUUCCUGGUGUAGCGGUGAAAUGCGCAGAUAUCAGGAGGAACACCGGUGGCGAAGGCGGGACUCUGGUCUGUAACUGACGCUGAGGCGCGAAAGCGUGGGGAGCAAACAGG